RNAcentral lists this transfer-messenger RNA (354 nucleotides) under Syntrophobacteraceae. RNAcentral describes it as "Desulforhabdus sp022836495 Standard tmRNA". It matches the Rfam family "transfer-messenger RNA". Rfam says of the family: Bacterial tmRNA, also known as 10Sa RNA or SsrA, is named for its dual tRNA and mRNA-like properties. Its role is to liberate the mRNA from a stalled ribosome. To accomplish this part of the tmRNA is used as a reading frame that ends in a translation stop signal. Lineage: Bacteria; Pseudomonadati; Thermodesulfobacteriota; Syntrophobacteria; Syntrophobacterales. RNAcentral also lists the same sequence under 1 other name. The record is from RNAcentral.
GGGGGCGAAACGGGUUCGACGGAGGUAAGGAAGCUCAAGUUGCAUGCCGAGGUCCUGGUUCCUCGUUAAACCAUCGGGACAAAAAACAAACGCAGACGAUUAUUCGUAUGCUGUAGCCGCGUAAGCGGCUACCGUUUCUCUGGUUUUUUCUUGCGGAACCAGCAGGAGCGUCGACUCAGCGAGAUGGUCUUUGGCAUGACGCCUGCAGUGCCAAAGGCGAGAUCCUGUAGGCUAGCCUAAUGGAAAUCCUGCUCGUGGGAGUUCUCCAAGGCGAAACUCAAAACGCGAGAUAAGCAUGUAGUAACUUCAGUGGAUUACUUUCGGACGCGGGUUCAACUCCCGCCGCCUCCACCA